Long non-coding RNA from Triticum aestivum (bread wheat), 784 nucleotides. RefSeq lists it as uncharacterized. The record is from RefSeq and is a predicted model, not a curated record. NCBI's taxonomy places the organism in Eukaryota, Viridiplantae, Streptophyta, Magnoliopsida, Poales, Poaceae. The transcript is spliced from 2 exons.
GCCCACGCGAUAAAACAGGGAAAAAAACCUCUUCUCCCCCACUCCCGCACUCCACCCCGCAACCGCCUGCAUCCCCGGAUCCCCACCGCCGAUCCCCUCCCCCGAUCCUCACGCUGCUUUCACUCCCCUGGAUGCCCACGCCGCCACACCCCUCCCCAGAUCCCCACGCCGCCGCGCCCCUCCGCGGAGACCCGCGCCACCGCGCCCCCUCGCCGGAGACCCGCGCCGCCGCGCCCCAUCCCUUGAAACCCCCGCCGUCGCGCCCCGUCCCCAGAGACCCCCGUCGGCGCGCCCCCUAACCGGAUCCACCUGCAGCCAUGCGCCCUCCCCGGAACCCCCACGUGCGCCACCGGAUCUUGCGGCCGCCUCACGCCUCCACCACCGGCCGCCGCUGCUCUUCCCGUCCCCCACUUCUCCCUCCGAAGAAGGCACGAAGUUCACUUACUGUCAUCGAGGAAAUUCAGCUAUACCCUCUCCAACGACCUCGGCCACGACCGUGCUCCAGCCAUCGAGCGCUUGCCUCUGCCGUCUCCAAGUGAUUUUUGAUGUCUGAAGUUCAGCUAUACCUGCAGGUGCAAAAAAUAGGUGUUUUGGUCCAUUUGUUUCAGUUUGACAAGUUGGUUUUCUGUGGGAAGAAGAACGAGAACGGCAUAUUUCUCUGAACAUCCCAUUUGGCCACAACUAGACGCCAAGAAAAGUGCAUGUACAGGAUCCUGUUACAACCAAAUAUGAUGUAAAAUGCAGAGACAAAAAAGUGAAUAUAUUCAGUAAUUUUUUUGUUUUC